This 148-nucleotide ribosomal RNA is filed under the name Epizoanthus sp. '335'. Its description in RNAcentral is "partial 16S ribosomal RNA". The record is from RNAcentral. Lineage: Eukaryota; Metazoa; Cnidaria; Anthozoa; Zoantharia; Epizoanthidae.
ACAUUGCUCGGAUCGACUCUCGCCCCCCCCCAUGGCGGGGGGGGGGUCGAAUUUAAAUGGAUAGCUUAGAUUAUGUGGUGUCAUAACCAUCGAUCAAGUAGUCCCUACGGGAUUGCCCCGAAGGUUGACCUGUUUGGGUGAAUGAAAC